GAAUUCGAUUAGAGUUUGAUCCUGGCUCAGAUUGAUUGCUGGCGGCAGGCUUAACACAUGCAAGUCGAGCGGUAGCACAGGGGAGCUUGCUCCCCGGGUGACGAGCGGCGGACGGGUGAGUAAUGUCUGGGAAACUGCCUGAUGGAGGGGGAUAACUACUGGAAACGGUAUCUAAUACCGCAUAUCGUCGAAAGACCAAAGAGGUGGACCUUCGCGCUUCUUGCCAUCAGAUGUGCCCAGAUGGUAUUAGCUAGUAGGUGGGGCAACGGAUCACAUAAGCUACAAUCUCUAUCUGGUGAGAAAGAAUCACCCUGCAACCUGGAACUGACACACAGUCCUUACUCAUACAGGAGGGAGUAAUAUUGAAUAUUGCACAAAGGCCGGAUUCAUGAUUCUAUCGUGUCUUAAGAGAGACAUAAGUCUUUGUAUCGCUUAGCACUUUCAUAGAGGAUCCAUGUGAUGAAACUUUAUAUUUUUGUAACAUUGACCUUACAAUAAGAUAAAAGCACAAUUCUUAUUUCCAUGAUCUCGCAGCUCAUAAUUAAUAAUGGAGGAGUGUAAGUGCAUAAUUUACAUAUUCCUUAGAAGAUAAAGCAAUACAGAAUCGUCUAUUUUGCUUAAUUUUAAAUUGUCAUAUCUCUUUGUUAUCAAUCUUUAUCAAUCUCCUUUAUAAAUUUUGUCAUUAUUUUUCAGUACUGAUAUAAUGACC
RNAcentral lists this ribosomal RNA (709 nucleotides) under uncultured Serratia sp. Its description in RNAcentral is "partial 16S ribosomal RNA". It matches the Rfam family "Bacterial small subunit ribosomal RNA", at positions 1 to 491 of the family's 1533-position model. The record is from RNAcentral. Lineage: Bacteria; Pseudomonadati; Pseudomonadota; Gammaproteobacteria; Enterobacterales; Yersiniaceae.